RNAcentral lists this ribosomal RNA (772 nucleotides) under uncultured Neocallimastigales. RNAcentral describes it as "partial large subunit ribosomal RNA". It matches the Rfam family "Eukaryotic large subunit ribosomal RNA", at positions 22 to 649 of the family's 3401-position model. The record is from RNAcentral. Lineage: Eukaryota; Fungi; Neocallimastigomycota; Neocallimastigomycetes; Neocallimastigales.
UACACGCUGUGACUAGCAUAUCAAUAAGCGGAGGAAAAGAAACUAACAAGGAUUCCCUCAGUAACGGCGAGUGAAGCGGGAAGAGCUCAAAUUUGAAAUCUUGAAAGGUCACCUUUCACGAAUUGUAGUUUAAAGAAGUGUUUUCUGUUACGAUCGUAAUAUAAGUUCUUUGGAAUAGGACAUCACAGAGGGUGAGAAUCCCGUCUAUGAUUGCGAUUUGUAGCUUUGUGAUACACUUUCAAAGAGUCGGGUUGUUUGGGAAUGCAGCCCAAAACGGGAGGUAAAUUUCUUCUAAGGCUAAAUAUUGGCAAGAGACCGAUAGCGAACAAGUACCGUGAGGGAAAGAUGAAAAGAACUUUGAAAAGAGAGUUAAACAGUACGUGAAAUUGUCAAAAGGGAAGCGUUUGACACCAGUGUUGUUUUCUCGAAAAUCAAUUAAAGAACUGUUUAUGCUAAGUUGUUAGACUUUAUCUGCUAUCUGCUUAGUUUUGAGCUUUUCUUUAAUGCACUUUUCAGUUAACAAGUCAACAUCAAUUUCUUUUGCUGUAAAAAAGCUUGAGGAAGGUGGCUUGAGAUUCGUCUUAAGUGUUUAUAGCCUCUUGCCUAUGCAGUCGGAGAGAUUGAGGUCUGCAGCGUAGAUCCUUCGGGGCUAAAUGCAUUUGUGCUAAGUUAUAGCAUUUUAUAGACAACUUGUUGACUAUGAUUUGUCUUGUAGCUUACUCGCUUAUGUUAUUUUACCUACGCUUAGGAUGUUGAGUAGCGACAUACGCAC